RNAcentral lists this unclassified non-coding RNA (345 nucleotides) under soil metagenome. Its description in RNAcentral is "partial contains 5.8S ribosomal RNA, internal transcribed spacer 2, and large subunit ribosomal RNA". The stretch from base 1 to 120 matches the Rfam family "5.8S ribosomal RNA", at positions 35 to 154 of the family's 154-position model. The record is from RNAcentral.
GAUGAAGAACGUAGCGAAAUGCGAUAAGUAGUGUGAAUUGCAGAAUUCAGUGAAUCAUCGAAUCUUUGAACGCACAUUGCGCCCCUUGGUAUCCCGAGGGGCAUGCCUGUUCGAGCGUCAUUGCUGCCCUCAAGCACGGCUUGUGUGUUGGGCCUCCGUCCUCCUCCCGGGGGACGGGCCCGAAAGGCAGCGGCGGCACCGCGUCCGGUCCUCGAGCGUAUGGGGCUUCGUCACCCGCUCUUGUAGGCCCGGCCGGCGCUUGCCGACACAUCAAUCUUUUUUCCAGGUUGACCUCGGAUCAGGUAGGGAUACCCGCUGAACUUAAGCAUAUCAAUAAGCGGAGGA